UACGGGGGGGGCAAGCGUUGUUCGGAAUUACUGGGCGUAAAGGGCUCGUAGGUGGCCAACUAAGUCGGACGUGAGAUCCCUCGGCUUAACCGGGGAACUGCGUCCGAUACUGGAUGGCUUGAGUUUGGGAGAGGGAUGCGGAAUUCCAGGUGUAGCGGUGAAAUGCGUAGAUAUCUGGAGGAACACCGGUGGCGAAGGCGGCAUCCUGGACCAACACUGACACUGAGGAGCGAAAGCCAGGGGAGCAAACGGA
This 253-nucleotide ribosomal RNA is filed under the name uncultured bacterium. RNAcentral's name for it is "partial 16S ribosomal RNA". It matches the Rfam family "Bacterial small subunit ribosomal RNA", at positions 524 to 776 of the family's 1533-position model. The record is from RNAcentral.